GGUUUCUGGUAAUCGCGGUUUGCCAUUAGGCAGGCUGAGGAAAGUCCAAGCUUGCACAGACUGAGAUGUCUGUAGUGAUCGUGCUUGCUGAAAAAAUAAGGCAAGGUAUCCUGAUAAGGAUAACGGCAGAUAAAAGGACUAAGGCUCUGCUAUGUCUGAGUAGUCUUGAAAGUGCCACAGUGACGAAGCAACAUUGGAAACGGUGUUGGUGGAACGCGGUAAACCCCACGAGCAGGUAACCCAAACUUUGGUAGGGGCGCUUCAUGACGGAAAUGAACAAAUCAUGGGGGCGAAUCUUAUAGAUUCGGAGAUAGAUGAUUACCACCGAUUUUGACUCCUGGGUCGAAUGACGUACGGAACGUGGCUUAUAGAG
This 373-nucleotide RNase P RNA is filed under the name Liquorilactobacillus capillatus DSM 19910. Its description in RNAcentral is "Lactobacillus capillatus DSM 19910 Bacterial RNase P class B". It matches the Rfam family "Bacterial RNase P class B". Rfam says of the family: Ribonuclease P (RNase P) is a ubiquitous endoribonuclease, found in archaea, bacteria and eukarya as well as chloroplasts and mitochondria. Its best characterised activity is the generation of mature 5'-ends of tRNAs by cleaving the 5'-leader elements of precursor-tRNAs. The record is from Rfam by way of RNAcentral. Lineage: Bacteria; Bacillati; Bacillota; Bacilli; Lactobacillales; Lactobacillaceae.